Molecule: long non-coding RNA, 814 nt
Filed under: Zea mays
Lineage: Eukaryota; Viridiplantae; Streptophyta; Magnoliopsida; Poales; Poaceae
Description: long non-coding RNA (ZMAY_LNC001156)
Source: RNAcentral
CCUCUUGCGGACUCAAUAAUAUGCUGUUGAUAUCAAUUCCAGUUGUUCUCCUUCAUGAGGAUCUCCUAGUGCAUCCUGUUCUUCACCAAACAGGAAUUUACAUGUUUGGCGAUACUAUUCAUCCUUCAUGUGUUUCGUUAGCCUUAUCAAGGCACCUGUUUGUACUGAUUGCUGGGUAUCAAGAUCUAUGUCAAUAUUUUCUUCUGAUUAUGCUGGAAUAACCGGUGUUAGCGUUAGAGUGAAAAAUGAUCUCAAUGUCCAAGACUCUUCAUCCUUCAUGUUUCUAUCAAUAAUGUGUCACAACGGAGGGAGGAGGAUUUCCAAUUCCUUACCCAAAAACCUGGAGGCUGAAGCGCUUGGCCGGGCUUGGCACAGAUCAACAAUUCUUCUGAUUAUACAGGAAAAGAAGUUGCCACAGAACAUUUACAAACAUGAUGGCUGGGCGCUUGGCUGGGCUGGCCGCUCGGAGGCGACGGUCGCUGGCCACGACAUGGGCACUGGUGCCGCUGCGCCGUGCUGGGCGCCUAGGAGCGAGGUUAUGGUCACGUGGGGCAUGCCGAUCAACGGCGAGUGCUCGCUGGCCGCAUGGGGCUGGGCACCUAGGCUCCGAGCCUCCGAUGGCGGCGCGGCGCUCCGGGGAAGGGGCACAGGGGUGCGACGACACUCCAGGGAAGGAGCGCGGGAGUGUGAGGGUGCUCCGGGGCGGGGGCUCAGGGGCUUGGCAGUGUCGAGCGGCGCUCCAGCUGGGGCGUGACGGCGGCGGCGGGGUGGGUAGAGUGGGCACGAGAGAUUGAGAAAGAACAGUACUGAGUAG